CAAGGUUCGAUUCGAGCGCAGCGAGAAAGCGUUGCCACAGGCAACGACCCGAAGGGCGAAGCGCGCAGCGCUGAGUC
RNAcentral lists this small RNA (77 nucleotides) under Salmonella enterica subsp. enterica serovar Singapore. Its description in RNAcentral is "RtT sRNA". It matches the Rfam family "RtT RNA", at positions 37 to 112 of the family's 130-position model. From Rfam's summary of the family: This family represents a bacterial cis-regulatory element known as RtT RNA. The exact function of RtT is unknown although it is thought that it may be involved in changing the cellular response in relation to amino acid starvation. Lineage: Bacteria; Pseudomonadati; Pseudomonadota; Gammaproteobacteria; Enterobacterales; Enterobacteriaceae. The record is from RNAcentral.